AUACUUACUUGGCGGGGGAGAUACUCUGACCAGGAAGGUGGUUUUCCCGGCGGGAGACUCACCCAUUGCCCUCUGCCUGGGCUGGCCCCUGUGAUUCCCCCAAAUAUCAGAAAUGCAGCUGCAUAAUUUGUGGUCAUGAGGGACUGCAUUUGCAUUCUAAUU
Molecule: small nuclear RNA, 162 nt
Filed under: Echinops telfairi (small Madagascar hedgehog)
Lineage: Eukaryota; Metazoa; Chordata; Mammalia; Afrosoricida; Tenrecidae
Description: U1 spliceosomal RNA (ENSETEG00000021003.1)
Rfam family: U1 spliceosomal RNA
About the family: U1 is a small nuclear RNA (snRNA) component of the spliceosome (involved in pre-mRNA splicing). Its 5' end forms complementary base pairs with the 5' splice junction, thus defining the 5' donor site of an intron.
Source: RNAcentral